UGGACAGUUCUGGAGACUGAAUUCCUCUAUUUACCCAGAUUAAAGAUAGGAGCACAGACAGCAGUAGAACAAGCUUCUCAGCAUUGCACUGCAAUGUGCUUCAACCCCGACCUGGAGGAACAGGUUUUAGGGAUAAGAGGGUAGCUCAGUCUCCAUCAUCCCGUAAAAGCCUUAGCUUCU
Molecule: unclassified non-coding RNA, 180 nt
Organism: Chrysemys picta bellii (western painted turtle)
Lineage: Eukaryota; Metazoa; Chordata; Testudines; Emydidae
Source: Ensembl